RNAcentral lists this transfer RNA (73 nucleotides) under Acidimicrobiales bacterium. RNAcentral's name for it is "tRNA-Leu". It matches the Rfam family "tRNA". From Rfam's summary of the family: Transfer RNA (tRNA) molecules are approximately 80 nucleotides in length. Their secondary structure includes four short double-helical elements and three loops (D, anti-codon, and T loops). Further hydrogen bonds mediate the characteristic L-shaped molecular structure. tRNAs have two regions of fundamental functional importance: the anti-codon, which is responsible for specific mRNA codon recognition, and the 3' end, to which the tRNAs corresponding amino acid is attached (by aminoacyl-tRNA synthetases). tRNAs cope with the degeneracy of the genetic code in two manners: having more than one tRNA (with a specific anti-codon) for a particular amino acid; and 'wobble' base-pairing, i.e. permitting non-standard base-pairing at the 3rd anti-codon position. Lineage: Bacteria; Bacillati; Actinomycetota; Acidimicrobiia; Acidimicrobiales. The record is from RNAcentral.
GCCGACGUAGCCCAACGGCAGAGGCCCCGCGUUUAGGGCGCGGCAAGUGUGGGUUCGAAUCCCACCGUCGGCA